AGUGAACGCUGGCGGUAGGCCUAACACAUGCAAGUCGAACGGCAGCACAGUAAGAGCUUGCUCUUACGGGUGGCGAGUGGCGGACGGGUGAGGAAUACAUCGGAAUCUACUUUUUCGUGGGGGAUCACGUAGGGAAACUUACGCUAAUACCGCAUACGACCUACGGGUGAAAGCAGGGGAUCUUCGCACCUUGCGCGAUUGAAUGAGCCGAUGUCGGAUUAGCUAGUUGGCGGGGUAAAGGCCCACCAGGGCGACGAUCCGUAGCUGGUCUGAGAGGAUGAUAAGCCACACUGGAGCUGAGCCACGGUCCAGACUCCUACGGGAGGCAGCAGUGGGGAAUAUUGGACAAUGGGCGCAAGCCUGAUCCAGCCAUACCGCGUGGGUGAAGAAGGCCUUCGGGUUGUAAAGCCCUUUUGUUGGGAAAGAAAAGCAGCAGGUUAAUACCCCGCUGUUCUGACGGUACCCAAAGAAUAAGCACCGGCUAACUUCGUG
This 492-nucleotide ribosomal RNA is filed under the name uncultured bacterium. RNAcentral's name for it is "partial 16S ribosomal RNA". It matches the Rfam family "Bacterial small subunit ribosomal RNA", at positions 29 to 507 of the family's 1533-position model. The record is from RNAcentral.